RNAcentral lists this ribosomal RNA (794 nucleotides) under uncultured bacterium. Its description in RNAcentral is "bacterial SSU rRNA". It matches the Rfam family "Bacterial small subunit ribosomal RNA", at positions 8 to 796 of the family's 1533-position model. The record is from RNAcentral.
AGAGUUUGAUCAUGGCUCAGAUUGAACGCUGGCGGCAUGCCUUACACAUGCAAGUCGAACGGCAGCGCGGGGGCAACCCUGGCGGCGAGUGGCGAACGGGUGAGUAAUACAUCGGAACGUGUCCUGGAGUGGGGGAUAGCCCGGCGAAAGCCGGAUUAAUACCGCAUACGAUCCUGGGAUGAAAGCGGGGGACCGAAAGGCCUCGCGCUCAAGGGGCGGCCGAUGGCAGAUUAGCUAGUUGGUGGGGUAAAGGCCUACCAAGGCGACGAUCUGUAGCUGGUCUGAGAGGACGACCAGCCACACUGGGACUGAGACACGGCCCAGACUCCUACGGGAGGCAGCAGUGGGGAAUUUUGGACAAUGGGGGCAACCCUGAUCCAGCAAUGCCGCGUGUGUGAAGAAGGCCUUCGGGUUGUAAAGCACUUUUGUCCGGAAAGAAAACUUCCGCCCUAAUACGGUGGGGGGAUGACGGUACCGGAAGAAUAAGCACCGGCUAACUACGUGCCAGCAGCCGCGGUAAUACGUAGGGUGCAAGCGUUAAUCGGAAUUACUGGGCGUAAAGCGUGCGCAGGCGGUUCGCUAAGACCGAUGUGAAAUCCCCGGGCUUAACCUGGGAACUGCAUUGGUGACUGGCGGGCUAGAGUAUGGCAGAGGGGGGGUAGAAUUCCACGUGUAGCAGUGAAAUGCGUAGAGAUGUGGAGGAAUACCGAUGGCGAAGGCAGCCCCCUGGGCCAAUACUGACGCUCAUGCACGAAAGCGUGGGGAGCAAACAGGAUUAGAUACCCUAGUAGUCC